RNAcentral lists this ribosomal RNA (299 nucleotides) under uncultured bacterium. RNAcentral describes it as "partial 16S ribosomal RNA". It matches the Rfam family "Bacterial small subunit ribosomal RNA", at positions 29 to 350 of the family's 1533-position model. The record is from RNAcentral.
AGCGAACGCUGGCGGCAGGCCUAAUACAUGCAAGUCGAGCGGCCGUAGCAAUACGGCAGCGGCAGACGGGAGAGUAACACGUGGGAACGUACCCUUCAGUUCGGGAACAAACCCAGGGAAACUUGGGCUAAUACCGGAUACGUUCGUAAGGAGAAAGAUUUAUCGCUGAAGGAGUCGGCCCGCGUCUGAUUAGCUAGUUGGUGACGGUAACGGCUCACCAAGGCGACGAUCAGUAGCGGUCUGAGAGGAUGAUCAGCCUCACUGGGACUGAGACACGGCCCAGGCUCCUACGGGAGGCA